Molecule: ribosomal RNA, 498 nt
Filed under: uncultured bacterium
Lineage: Bacteria
Description: bacterial SSU rRNA
Rfam family: Bacterial small subunit ribosomal RNA
Source: RNAcentral
ACGCGAAAGCCCCUUCGGGGGUAAGUAGAGUGGCGUCCGGGUGAGUAACACGUAGGUAAUCUACCUCUGGGUGGGGAAUAACGUCUCGAAAGAGACGCUAAUACCGCAUAAUGCAGCGGCACCUAAUGGUGAAUAGUUGUUAAAGCGGGGGACCUUCGGGCCUCGCGCCUGGAGAGGAGCCUGCGGCAGAUUAGCUUGUUGGUGAGGUAAUGGCUCACCAAGGCAACGAUCUGUAGCUGGUCUGAGAGGACGGCCAGCCACACUGGCACUGACACACGGGCCAGACUCCUACGGGAGGCAGCAGUGGGGAAUUUUGGGCAAUGGGCGAAAGCCUGACCCAGCAACGCCGCGUGAGGGAGGAAAUCCUUCGGGAUGUAAACCUCACAAGCAAGGGAAGAGCGCGCAGGGGCGAAUAUCCUCUGCGUCCGACGGUACCUUGCGUAAGCCACGGCUAGCUACGUGCCAGCAGCCGCGGUAAUACGUAGGUGGCAAGCGUUG